This is a long non-coding RNA of Lemur catta (Ring-tailed lemur), 2050 nucleotides long. RefSeq lists it as uncharacterized. The record is from RefSeq and is a predicted model, not a curated record. The transcript has 3 exons. Lineage: Eukaryota; Metazoa; Chordata; Mammalia; Primates; Lemuridae.
CCGCAGGCUAAGAGGCCUCUGGGGAGAGCAGCAAGAACUGUGGCCGGCCAGGAGCUGCCGGUCUUCAAGCAGCCUCGGGCUGCCUUCCCAGGCCUGAACCUGCAGGUGACAGAGCAGCUGCUCGACAUGACGCAGCCCAAGCUGGGCGCCAUCCAAGCCCCCGCCCCCACCUCCAGCCUGACCCCAGAGCCCACGCCUCCACUUCGCGCUGUGUGACCACAGGUUCUCACAGCCCUGCAAGGCGUGGCUCUACCACCAUCAGUGUGCUGAUGAGGAAACUGGGCUCAGGUGCAAGAGACUUGCUGCAGGGCAUAGCGCAGCGAGGGGCCCAGCAACAGUAGGUGCUUAAUAAGUGUGCAUCCCUCCCUCUUGCCACUCCCUGCCCUUGUGCCUGGGAUAGGGGCUGGCAUGCAGUUGGUGCUUAACCAGCGGCUGUUUGUGAGAGCCUGGCACGCCCGUAGAGCUCAGUGCACGUCUGCCCAGGGACCUGCCGGGGAUGGAGGGGCGAGUGCACGGGUUGCCAGGCGGCCGUGCUGGGAAGCGGGCGGCCCCGGCCCGCCCGAUGUUGUUCUUUCUCCCCAGCUCCACGGGGCCCUCAAUGGGCGCAGCCGUGUGUUUUCCUUGGGCCUCCCUCUGAGGCCCCGGAAGGCCCGUUCCCAGAGCCAGCCAUGACCCCAGGUACUCAUUUACCCGGAUCGAAAGGGCCCUGCCAGCCGGGCCUGAUUAAAGAUGGGGAAUCAUUAGCUGCUGCUCUGCGGCGGCAGAAGGGCCAUUUGUCAGCUGUCGGGGCUCCGCUGGCCCCACCUGGGCAGCCCAGCUCUGCCCUCUGGGCCAGAACUCAUAGUCAAGGGGCACCUGCUGUCAGCUCUGGUCCACAGAAGUCCCGGUAGGUGAGUGAAACAUGGAUGAAUGGGCAAGUGAACGACAAAGAAGGCGGGAGUCAUAUCCCACAGACACGACCACUGCCCCAAGCACCUUCCCCUGGCCCAGCACAUGAGGGCCUGGAUCUCGGAGGGGACCUCUGGGGCUCACAGUCCAGUGAGGGAGGAGGAGGAGAAGGACCUGCAUCAUCAGGUGCUGCAGGAGCCCACGAGAACCUAACCCUGCCGGGUGAUGGUGCCUGGGCUGGGGCCUUCCUGGAGGAGAUGGUGCCCACACUGGGUAUUGAUGGAUGAGUAGGAGCUCGUUAGACAAAGAGGGGAGGGUGUUCCAGGAGAGGUUCAACAUGGGCAAAGGUCUGGAGACCACCAGGCCUGAAGGGAGAGACAAGGCCACACACACGUCAAGUGGGCGCAGGGUGGGCCCUGAGGCUGGGCCUGGAGUUGGGGGGUGUCUUCCACUCUGCAUGAGUGGAGAGGACUGGAGAGGCCAGGGAGGAGGAUGGGGAAGGAGGCUGACAGAAGGUACCAGGAGCUGAUCCUCCCCAGAGGGGCCUUGAUGGCCCGAGGCCUGGCUGGGUGUCCAGACUAGGGGUUUUGCGUGCCAGGUAGCCCUCUGGUGUCCCCACUGGAGACCCCACUGUGGCCUGUUGCAUGGCUGCCUCCCCACUGCACUCUGCUGUCCUCCCCCGACCCCUUGGCUCCUGUCUCCCCAUCCACAUCCAGGCCAGGUGUCUCAGCCUGCACCCUCCUGCCCGGGGACCUUCAGACGCUGCACGGCCAGGCCAGUGACCGGCAGCUGAUGAAGCCGAUUGGGUAGCUGUUUGCAGAGUGAGGGGCCACAUCCUCGCUUGGCUGGGUCCCCUGGGCCAGAGCCUCUCCCGGGAGGUGAUCACAGGAUUCCAGAAUGUGCCAUUUCCUUCUCCUGCUCCCUGGCCAUGAGCACGACAGCAAUGGUGGCGCCAGUGGCAGCGGGAACGUUGGGGCAGAGACCGGGCCCCCCACCCCUGCCCCAGAAGACCACAGGGCAGGGCGUGGAGCAGGCACUGAGGGGGCUGAGGCAGGGGCCGCUCCCCCAGGCCGUGGUUCCUCUGCCCACCAGGGCUGUGCGGGUGGGUGGACUGGGAGCCCCUCUGGGAAAAAGGCAAUUUCGUGUUCUUUGCAGAAUAAAG